AGUGAACGCUGGCGGCGUGCCUAAUACAUGCAAGUCGAACGGAAUUUAAAAGAGCUUGCUCUUUUAAAUUUAGUGGCGCACGGGUGAGUAAUAUAUAGCUAAUCUGCCCCUUGCUGGAGGACAACAGUUAGAAAUGACUGCUAAUACUCCAUACUCCUUUUUACCAUAAGAUAAAUCGGGAAAGAAUUUCGGCAAGGGAUGAGACUAUAUCGUAUCAGCUAGUCGGUGGGGUAACGGCCUACCGAGGCUAUGACGCGUAACUGGUCUGAGAGGAUGAUCAGUCACAUUGGAACUGAGACACGGUCCAAACUCCUACGGGAGGCAGCAGUAGGGAAUAUUGCGCAAUGGGGGAAACCCUGACGCAGCAACGCCGCGUGGAGGAUGACACUUUUCGGAGCGUAAACUCCUUUUGUUGGGGAAGAAUAAUGACGGUACCUAACGAAUAAGCACCG
Molecule: ribosomal RNA, 452 nt
Filed under: Campylobacter gracilis
Lineage: Bacteria; Pseudomonadati; Campylobacterota; Epsilonproteobacteria; Campylobacterales; Campylobacteraceae
Description: bacterial SSU rRNA
Rfam family: Bacterial small subunit ribosomal RNA
Source: RNAcentral